This 3212-nucleotide unclassified non-coding RNA is filed under the name Haliotis rubra (blacklip abalone). Its description in RNAcentral is "mucin-5AC-like, transcript variant X1". The record is from RNAcentral. Lineage: Eukaryota; Metazoa; Mollusca; Gastropoda; Lepetellida; Haliotidae.
AAGCGGCACUUGGAAUUUCGUCACGUUUUGUCACAUUACGCCUGAACCGAGCUGAUCACGCCACGCUGCAAUGAUUCCAAGGAUAUCUACCUUCAUUCUCGUUUGCAAUUUGAUUCCCUGGGUAAACCCCUACUUACUAGGAGGCGACCCCCUGAACACCAGAGCAUCGUAUUGCCGCAUAUGUGACGACAAUGACCCCAGCAAUACGUGCAAGAUGCAUAGAGACGACAGCCGUGCAUCCACCAUAUGUACAGUUGAUAAAGGGGCCCCGUUUUGUAUGAAUACAAUAACAGCAGAUGGUGGCGGUGUCAAAAUAACAAAACAAUGUGCCACCAGAUACACCUGCCACAACCUUUGGUGGGAGAGAACAAGUCAAAAUUCAGCCUGCAGCCAAUCAGCUGUCGGAUCUGGUCACCUAGCAACAGGAACCACGUGCAGCAUAUGCUGCGCGGGAAGACACUGUAAUGAUGACAACUGGCCAACAGAUCUGCUCCAGUUUCCUGACACUGUUGUCGUAGCCCCCAAAACCACUGCUGCAACGACAACAGCGCCAACAACUUCAACGUCAGCGCCAACAUCAACAACACCAAAGCCAACAUCUACAACACCGAAGCCAACGUCAACAACAAAGCUGACAACAACACGUCUACCAUUUAUCCUGCAUCAUCCCGUGACGACAUACCACCCCCACUACCACCACCGGACUACCCAUGGGGUACACCACCACACUCCACUUCCAAGCGCGACGGUGUGUAUGCAGUGCGUGGAGGAUCCCAGCAAGGGCUUGCACUGUGACCCUGGACAUCAGACCCAUGUCUGUGGGGGCAGCACUCCCUACUGUAUGACGUCAUAUUACAGUCAGGGUAGCUCGUACAGGAUUGAAAAGAGCUGCGCAGACCGUAGCGAGUGCUAUCAACUUUGGUGGCAGAAAACAUCCACAAAUCAGGAGUGUUUCCGGGAUGACCUUUUGACCUCUACCGGAAGUCGACCCUCUUCCUGUCACUACUGCUGCCGGGCCGUGGGCGUCAGCGCGUACUGCAACAAACUCCCGACACUGGUACCUUCGCAUCUGGUGAUGUUUGCUGCCCUGCCCACAGUACCACAGACAUCCCCUACGGCAACAAGACCUUCUACAGCUACAACUACCGCAACAACACCUUCUACAACUACGACAACAACACCUACACCUGUAACUACUACAACAACACCUUCUACAGCUGCAACAUCGCCUUCUACAGCGAGCACAACUAAGAGCACAUCUGAAGCCACGUCGACGUCACCUUCAACACUGACAUCUGCUGGAACAACAUCAUCAACAGGAAAGAAUCGGUGUCAGGUAUGUGUGGAUGACGGAGUGACGACGUGUGACGUCACAGAUUUGGCUGACUGCCCGGAUGACAAGCCUUUCUGCAUGAACACACUGGAGGUUGACGGGAAGGGGAACAGGGUUGUCACUAAACAGUGUGUUAGUGACACGGUGUGUUACUCGGACUGGUGGCUCCAGACUCGAACCCAGACUAUGUGUAUGGGCAACCUGACCAACAUUCCCGCCAGUAGCCACGGGCUGCUCUGCAAGUGGUGCUGUAAUGACACGUCACCAGGGACGACCUGCAACAGCAACGUCAAACCAGACAACCUCGUGCAGUACGCCAUCCCAACAACAUCGCCUUCUACAACCACGACAUCAACAACAACAACCACCACCACAACGACGACGCCUAAAUUAGUGAACCGUUGUCAGGUAUGUGUGGAUGAUGGAGUGACGACAUGUGACGUCACAGAUUUCGCUGACUGCCCGGAUGACAGACCCUUCUGUAUGAACACACUGGAGGUUGACGGGAAGGGGAACAGGGUUGUUAGAAAAGAGUGUGUAAGUGACACGGUGUGUUACUCGGACUGGUGGCUCCAGACUCGAACCCAGACUGUGUGUAUGACCAACCUCACCAACAUACACGCCAGUAGCCACGGCCUGCUCUGCAAAUGGUGCUGCAACGAUACGUCUUCAGGCACGUCCUGCAACAGUGACGUUCAACCACACAACCUCGUACAGUACGACAUCACCACAACAGCUACAACGCCAGUGUCUACAACACACACAACUACUACAGUGCCAUCAACGUCAACAGUGUCAUCAACGUCUACAGUGCCAGCAACGUCUACAGUGCCAUCAACGUCUACAGUGCCAUCAACGUCAACAGUGCCAUCAACGUCUACAGUGCCAUCAACAUCGAAAACGAUGACAACAACUACGCAAAAAUUAGUGAAGAACCGGUGUCAGGUAUGUGUGGAUGACGGAGUGACGACAUGUGACGUCACAGAUUUCGCUGAGUGCCCGGAUGACAAGCCUUUCUGCAUGAACACACUGGAGGUUGACGGGAAGGGGAACAAGGCUGUCACUAAACAAUGUGUAAGUGACACUGUGUGCUACUCGGACUGGUGGAUCCAGACUCGAACCCAGACUGAGUGCAUGGCCAACCUCACCAAUAUACACCCUAGUAGCCACGGGCUGCUCUGCAGAUGGUGUUGUAACAACACGUCUCCGGCCACACCCUGUAACGAGAACACCACACCAUCCAACCUCGCUCAGUACGACAUCAUCACGACAACAGCAACGUCUCCAACGCCAUCGGCAAGUAGUUUCACUGCGUCUCCAUCUCCAACACCAAGUAGGUUCAUCAAUACAGCUUCUACAACACCGUCCACUACGGCGACAUCCAGUAAUUCCUUCAACACAACGUCUGCGGUACCGUCCACUACGGCGACAUCCAGUAAUUCCUUCAACACAACGUCUGCGGUACCGUCCACUACGGCGACAUCCAGUAAUCCCUUCAACACAACGUCUGCGGUACCGUCCACUACGGCGACAUCCAGUAAUCCCUUCAACACAACGUCUGCGGUACCGUCCACUACGGCGACAUCCAGUAAUCCUUCAACACAACGUCUGCGGUACCGUCCACUACGGCGACAUCCAGUAAUCCCUUCAACACAACGUCGACGGUACCGUCUACUACGGCGACUGCUUCAACAAGUGUGACAGCAGCGACUACAUCAACGUCCUCGGCUAAGCCAACAUCAAGUGGCAAAGGUCCAACAACGUGCUGGGACUGCAGCAAUGGCUGCCCCUUCAUUCAGCACCCCAUGACGUGUACAUCCGGGUACUGUCUGACGACGGUCACAGACGACAUCCAGUACACCAGGACAAUCAGGAAGAG